GUAGGUGAACCUGCGGAAGGAUCAUUACCGAUGUUUGGUUUUAUAAUAAAGCUGAAUUUACUUUUUGUGCACUGUAUAUUUCUUGCCUUAACUUUGUCUGACCCAAAAAAAAAUAUCGUUCUGAAGAGAACGUGAAUGAUAACGAAAUACAACUUUUAACAAUGGAUCUCUUGGCUCUCGCAUCGAUGAAGAACGCAGCAUCUGACUGACUUGGGAUGCAU
This 221-nucleotide unclassified non-coding RNA is filed under the name plant metagenome. RNAcentral's name for it is "partial contains small subunit ribosomal RNA, internal transcribed spacer 1, and 5.8S ribosomal RNA". The stretch from base 151 to 221 matches the Rfam family "5.8S ribosomal RNA", at positions 1 to 57 of the family's 154-position model. The record is from RNAcentral.